RNAcentral lists this ribosomal RNA (424 nucleotides) under uncultured bacterium. RNAcentral's name for it is "partial 16S ribosomal RNA". It matches the Rfam family "Bacterial small subunit ribosomal RNA", at positions 359 to 774 of the family's 1533-position model. The record is from RNAcentral.
GAAUAUUGGACAAUGGGGGGAACCCUGAUCCAGCCAUGCCGCGUGUGUGAAGAAGGCCUUUUGGUUGUACAGCACUUUAAGCGAGGAGGAGGAGCUCUUGGUUAAUACCCAAGAUGCUUGGACGUUACUGUCAGCAUACGCACAGGCCAACGAGGUUCACGCAGCCGCGGUAAUACAGGGGGUGCAAGCGUUAAUCGGAUUUACUGGGCGUAAAGCGCGCGUAGGUGGCCAAUUAAGUCAAAUGUGAAAUCCCCGAGCUUAACUUGGGAAUUGCAUUCGAUACUGGUUGGCUAGAGUAUGGGAGAGGAUGGUAGAAUUCCAGGUGUAGCGGUGAAAUGCGUAGAGAUCUGGAGGAAUACCGAUGGCGAAGGCAGCCAUCUGGCCUAAUACUGACACUGAGGUGCGAAAGCAUGGGGAGCAAACA